CCAAAAACCCAAAAGUGAGGAGAUCACAUCUUCCUGCAGCCACUGCUGAAGGCAAAUCACUGCACACACAACAGCAAUCAACAGGGGAUUUGUUCUGUCCCCCACGAAUCAGCAGGAUGGAGGGAGGGCUCUGCUGCUCCUUCAAGAGCAAGAUAAAACCACCCCGUGAAGAAACUGCAAUUCCUCCUCCCUUUGCUCUGACAGGAAUCCAAAAUGACAGCACUGUUCUAGAAGCUUUUCUCCAAGGCACACUUUACAGUGAGCAACAAUUUCUUGUUUAAUAAUUAAAACCAUUUCCUGGCUAAUCAGAGCAGUCCUCUGGUAUCUGAAAAAAUAAUUUAUUCAUCAAUGAGAGCACGUGGACAAAGUUAAAUCAUCUCUCCAAAGCUUCUCCAAGCCAACCAAAAUCUAAAAUCUCCUGAUGUGAGGAAAUGUCCUUCCCCUACACCUUUCCCAUAGGUGAGAGUACCUACAGACUGGAGUAAAUAUCAAGACAAAAAAAAUGCAAAGAAGGAAGAGACUAAAUAAAAAAUAUCAGAAUAUAUUUUAUACAUUAGAAAAGAUUUUACAGGAGUAGAGCUUCUGCCAGCCAUCCCUGCAAAACUCCUGAGGUUCUGUUGAGAGAAAAACAGGUCCAGCUCUGGUUUGGAAAGAGGGAUAAUUUGUGACACAACACUAAAAACAGGUAGUAAAUGUGUAAUGUUUUAUUGGCAAUGAUCUCAUUUGAAUGUUUGCCUAAUGAGGGGGAUUAACUGGGUUAAUGGCAGGGACUGCCCCAUCCCAACCCCAGGCACACACCUGGGAUCUCAAUUCUGCUGCCCAGCACGGAGGAAGGAUGGAAAUUUGGGAAAACAGGCAGCUGGUGGAAACCUCAGUCCUUGUGCUUGCUGAUUCAUGCAAGGAGGGAAGAGAAAAGGAACAAAAAUGUGCCAGAAUGGUGCAAACAAAAGGCACCAUCUGGCUCUGAGGAGAUGUGGGCUCAUCCCAACAGCACCAGGACAGAACCCAGAGCCAGCCAGGCCUGGGGGACUGAGAGCAAAACCCAGCCUGGCCUGGUUUGGAUCCACAUUGCUGAGGGUUCAAACCACAAACACUGCUCCCAACAGCUGCUCUGCUCUGCCCAAAACACAGGGAGACCCCAACAAGGAGACAGCAACACUGGCAGGGAAAAAAUGAGAGUUUGGAAAGUAAACUCAAAUACUGAAUGAGUGGUGAAUCAAACCUGGAGGGAGGAACUCACAGAGCAACUCAAGAUUUGGUCAAGUUGAGGCUGUCUGCAAAACAAAGUCAGGGCAGCUGUGACAUUAAACCAAAGCCAGGUGUGACAGCUCUUCUGCAGAGAACACUGCUCUAUACAUGGCAAUUUUACUGUAUUUCUUUCUUUUUUUUAAUUAAGAUUUCAUCAUAGUUCUGUUAUUUUAAAUCAUAAACCUAUGCAGUUAAUUCUGUGUUUUUUUUCUCAGAUAACUCUUUUUUCAUUACUUCACCCAAAUCAAUCCAAAACACUGAUUACUGAGCAAGGCAAGAAUCUCCAGCAGCUCCCUGACAUCAGGAUGAGACAGGCAAGACUCAUGUAUGAAUAUUAAUUCAGAAGUACAGUGAGAAACAGCCCUGUGAGAAUUGUUAUUUGAACAGACUGGGUAGAACUAUUUACUGUGCAAUUAUUAGAAAGCAUCAAAAUCAGAAAAAGAACACUCCAAACUUGACAGGUACAGGAAUGUGAUUAUCAGUGUAACAGCCAAACUGCUCUGCUUCAGGAAAAAGGGAAUUUCUUCACUUACCUCCUUGGAAAGGUGACAGAUUCCUAUUCCUAAAUUGUCUGAUAUGAAUGGAGAUAUGCAAAUCUAAGUUAUUUAUUACAAUCAGCUUAUCCUUAUCAUAGUAUUAACAGCAAUAAAAUUAUAAGUAAUUUCAUUGCAAUACUCAUUAGCAAACUAUUAGAUCACUCCCUCCCUCAUAGAUUUCAGAUUAAACAGCACAAAUAAAUGAUCCCAAAGAACUAAAGCCUCUGGGAUCAGACCUUCCACUAAGUCCUUUCUUCUGAGCAUUACCACCUGCUUAUCAUUUAAAUACUGACAGGGAAAUGCUUAUAAACAAACUCCCCAACUUCACAGAAGGUUAAAAAUCAUCUGAAAAUAAAGCGAAGCAGUUCUGCCAUGGGGAGCUGCAGCUCUUCACGGGCACAGGCAGCACCGGGGAGUUUUCCUUGGCAGCUCAGAGCCUCAUCCCCCUGUCCAAGGAAUGGCAGGGCUGGCAAUCGCCACAGGAACACUUCAACCUGCUCUGAUGGGGAGCAAACAGGAAAAAAUCCUUUCCUGUGAGGGUGGGGAGGCCUGGCACUGUGGCUGUCCCUGGAUCCCCAGCAGUGCCCAAGGCCAGGCUGGACACUGGGACUGACAGGUGUCCCUGCCAUGGCAGGUGACACUGGGUGGCCUUUAACCCUUCCCACCUUCCAAACGCUGGGGCUGAUCCCGCAGAGCCCACGGAGCUCCCCUGGCGGGACAAACCCGGGGCGGGGGCCGGAGCCUUGGCUGCCGAUAUUCUUUAAUUCAAAAACCCCGAACGCUCCAUGUCCGCCCUGAGAGAGGAUGAAAACAACUUCCCCACCCGCACCCGCGGCACGGCCCGGCCCGGGGGCGGCUCCGGCGGGGCCGCGUCUCAGCUCACCUGCGGACGGCUCUGCCUGAGGGGCGGCGGGGACGCGCGGGAAACAGAGAGAGAUGCUGAGUGAUUUGUCCCCCUUUCCCCCAUGAGAACAGAGCCCAGCAGAUCUCAGUGCAGCGAGGGAAGUUUGUGCAUUUACCUGCUGAGAUUGCUGCUGUGGUGGACAGGAUGUAGCCAAUGCUGGAGAUCUGAGCUGAGUCAUAGA
Molecule: long non-coding RNA, 2869 nt
Organism: Catharus ustulatus (Swainson's thrush)
Lineage: Eukaryota; Metazoa; Chordata; Aves; Passeriformes; Turdidae
Exons: 3
Source: RefSeq, a predicted model, not a curated record